CCUCAACUCAGGUAGGACGACCCGCUGGACUUAAGCAUAUCAAUAAACGGAGGAA
Molecule: ribosomal RNA, 55 nt
Filed under: uncultured fungus
Lineage: Eukaryota; Fungi
Description: partial 28S ribosomal RNA
Source: RNAcentral